AAGCAACCCCCUGUCUCUUCAUGCUACCCCCCGGUGCCCCCAGCCCCUCACCGCUGCUUCCCCCAGCCCCUCUGCACGGCCCCGUGGGCACGCCCGGGCAUCCUGGUAUCUCUGAGUACCUUCCUGUUACCACCGUGUGUCCCUCCAGGUGCCCCCAUGAACCCCGGAACCCUUGACCUCCCCCCACCACUCCCUGCAGUAACCCCCCCCCCCCCCCCCCCGAUCUCCUCCUGCUAAUCCCGGUGCCUCCUCCCCCUCUGCUGCCUAUGGCUGCACAGGACCCCCGGGCCUGCACUGGGACCCCCGGGGGGGACCAUGUCUGCACUCCAACCCUGCUGGAGUAGGGGGGGGUCCUGUGGCCCCCGAGGGACAGUGCCCUGGGGGGUUCCUGGGCUCCUUUAUCCCCCCCAGCCUGGAGCAGCAUCUCAUGCGCUGGGCCCCCAUAUAAGGCUCCCUCCGCCGGCGCUGGCAGCACUGGAAAGCCAGCACUGCUUUCCUGGCAGGAUGAAGCCAAGGUCACUGACGCCACAGGGAAGGUCCCCAGCUGGCACCCGGGGGAGCAGCCAGUGCAGCUGCAGCCAUGUCAUGCUGUACCUUCACCCUCCUCUUCCUCCUCCUGGUGGGACCAUCCCAAUGGGGCCAGGGGCACUGUACAGCCACCCCGGAGCCCCGGGGCAGAGCCAUGUUCCUCCAUAGUCCUGCAGCCUCACUCUCCAUCCCGUGGGACACGCUGACCUUCCCGGAGCACAGACACGGCCUCCAGCGGCAGAAGAGAGACUGGGUCAUUCCCCCCAUCAACUGCCCUGAGAACGACCUGGGGCCCUUCCCCAAGAAGCUGGUGCAGAUCAAAUCCAACAAGGACAAGGAAACCAAGGUUUUCUACAGCAUCACAGGACAAGGAGUGGACACUAUCCCUGUGGGCAUCUUCAUCAUCGAACAGGAGACAGGGUGGCUGGAGGUGACGAAGCCUCUGGACCGGGAGGAGAAGGAUAAAUACACAGUGAGUGAGUGGGACCUGCAGCAGGGGGGGACAGUCCUGAGGGCUGCACACAGGCUGACUGUGUUCUUACAGCUCUAUGCCCAUGCUGUGUCAGCCAACGGGCAGCCUGUGGAGGACCCCAUGGAGAUCAUCAUCACCAUCACUGACCGAAACGACAACCCACCCAUCUUCUCCCAGGCAGCUUUCCAUGGCUCUGUGCCAGAGGGAGCUGAGCCAGGCACGCCAGUGCUGUGGGUGCUGGCCACUGAUGCAGACGAUGCUGUGAGCUCCAACAAUGGAGUCGUGGUCUAUUCCAUCCUGAGCCAGGCACCGGAGCAGCCCCAGCCCCGCAUGUUCACCAUAGACAGAAGCUCCGGGCUGAUCUCUGUGGCCGUGCCAGGGCUAGUGGCAGAGGUGGUCCGUGAAUAUACCCUGGAGAUCCAGGCAGCCGAUAUGGGGGGACACGGGCUGCAAGCCACCACCACCGCCCGCAUCACAGUGCAGGUGAGAUAUUGAGCCCCCCCGCUGCCCACCCAGCCCAGACGGGGAGGGUGAGGCUGUGGUGAAGCCGGUGCUGGCUCUCAGCAGCCCCACACACCCGGCUGCCGCACCGCCAACGCGCUCCAGGUGCUUUCCAUAGUGGGAGGUGAGGCUGGGAUGGCAGCUCCACGGCGGCUUCUCCUGGCCCGGCACCCCAUCUUCCCGCCGGGCUCUGGGCCACCAGCCCCAGGGCUGCAGCACUGCUGGAGAGUGGGUGCCAGUGGGGCUCCUGGGCACAGCUCCCAGUGGGAAGCUGCCUGUGCUGGCUCAGCCCAGCCAGGGAGGAGCACCCAGUUCUGCGGGAGCCUUGUGCCAGGAUAGCGGCAUCCAGCCACACCAGCUCUGUGGGGAGAGGCUGUGGCGCCAGGAAGGGCGGCCAGGGCCAGGGAUGGUGUUUUGCGCAGUGUCACCGGCCACAGGCCCCUGGCUGAGCGGGACCGAGGACAGCCAGGUACACGGACACGGAUGGGCGCUGCCGGCCCCUCCUGGCAGCGGGACAGGCCAAGGCCGGCACCUACAAGCUGCGCUUUGAGACAGC
Pseudopipra pipra is the source of this 2057-nucleotide RNA transcript. It is a transcript of the gene named 5-hydroxyisourate hydrolase-like, with no coding region annotated. NCBI's taxonomy places the organism in Eukaryota, Metazoa, Chordata, Aves, Passeriformes, Pipridae. The transcript is spliced from 5 exons. The record is from RefSeq and is a predicted model, not a curated record.